RNAcentral lists this ribosomal RNA (39 nucleotides) under Mucidosphaerium pulchellum. RNAcentral describes it as "partial 28S ribosomal RNA". The record is from RNAcentral. Lineage: Eukaryota; Viridiplantae; Chlorophyta; Trebouxiophyceae; Chlorellales; Chlorellaceae. RNAcentral also lists the same sequence under 1 other name.
UCGACCUGAGCUCAGGCAAGAUUACCCGCUGAACUUAAG